Molecule: ribosomal RNA, 434 nt
Filed under: uncultured bacterium
Lineage: Bacteria
Description: partial 16S ribosomal RNA
Rfam family: Bacterial small subunit ribosomal RNA
Source: RNAcentral
AACGAACGCUGGCGGCAUGCCUAACACAUGCAAGUCGAACGAGACCUUCGGGUCUAGUGGCGCACGGGUGCGUAACGCGUGGGAACCUGCCCUUAGGUUCGGAAUAACUCCCCGAGAGGGGUGCUAAUACCGGAUAAUGUCUUCGGACCAAAGAUUUAUCGCCUUUGGAUGGGCCCGCGUUGGAUUAGCUAGUUGGUAGGGUAAAAGCCUACCAAGGCGACGAUCCAUAGCUGGUCUGAGAGGAUGAUCAGCCACACUGGGACUGAGACACGGCCCAGACUCCUACGGGAGGCAGCAGUGGGGAAUAUUGGACAAUGGGCGAAAGCCUGAUCCAGCAAUGCCGCGUGAGUGAUGAAGGCCUUAGGGUUGUAAAGCUCUUUUACCCGGGAUGAUAAUGACAGUACCGGGAGAAUAAGCUCCGGCUAACUCCGUGC